UAGAGGAAGUAAAAGUCGUAACAAGGUUUCCGUAGGUGAACCUGCGGAAGGAUCAUUAUUGAAUUAAACUUGAAACGGGUUGUUGCUGGCUCUCCUCCUUGGAGUUGCAUGUGCACGCUUGUUUUUUUCUUUAUUUCUCCAACUGUGCACGAAUUGUAGACCUGGUCUAUGUUUUUCACAAUCUCUGAAUGUAUUAGAAUGGCUGGGAACAAAAAAUAUACAUACAACUUUCAGCAACGGAUCUCUUGGCUCUCGCAUCGAUGAAGAACGCAGCGAAAUGCGAUAAGUAAUGUGAAUUGCAGAAUUCAGUGAAUCAUCGAAUCUUUGAACGCAUCUUGCGCUCCUUGGUAUUCUGAGGAGCAUGCCUGUUUGAGUGUCAUUUAAAACUUCUCAACUGCUUCUGAGCAGCUUGGAAAUGGGGGGUGUGCAGGCUAAGUGUAGUCUGCUCCCCUGAAAUGUAUUAGUGGUGUCUGGGCGGACUAACCACAGGUGUGAUAAAUUAUCAAUGCCUUGGUUAAUUUUGCUGCUGCUUCCAACCCUUAUAAAUGACCAACUUGACCUCAAAUCAGGUAGGAUUACCCGCUGAACUUAAGCAUAUCAAUAA
Molecule: ribosomal RNA, 604 nt
Filed under: uncultured fungus
Lineage: Eukaryota; Fungi
Description: eukaryotic LSU rRNA
Rfam family: 5.8S ribosomal RNA (bases 226-379)
Source: RNAcentral